UCUUCAGAUCAUAUAAAUCUUUCACCUUUUACUAAAGAUUUCCGUGGAGA
Molecule: small nuclear RNA, 50 nt
Organism: Ailuropoda melanoleuca (giant panda)
Lineage: Eukaryota; Metazoa; Chordata; Mammalia; Carnivora; Ursidae
Gene: U5
Rfam family: U5 spliceosomal RNA
About the family: U5 RNA is a component of both types of known spliceosome. The precise function of this molecule is unknown, though it is known that the 5' loop is required for splice site selection and p220 binding, and that both the 3' stem-loop and the Sm site are important for Sm protein binding and cap methylation.
Source: Ensembl